Harpia harpyja (harpy eagle) is the source of this 3212-nucleotide long non-coding RNA. RefSeq lists it as uncharacterized. The transcript is spliced from 2 exons. The record is from RefSeq and is a predicted model, not a curated record. Lineage: Eukaryota; Metazoa; Chordata; Aves; Accipitriformes; Accipitridae.
GCCGGAUGGUACGGCCCGACGGCAGCCGCCACAUCAGCCCCGGGAGGGGCCCGGCCGGGCCAGGUGACAUGGCGGGCCGGGGCUGUCCGCCGGGCGGGGGCGGCGAGGCCUGUGGGGUCUCAAGCGACGGGAGCGGCUUGCUAGCUCACAGCUAGCCACGUCCGGGCCACUGUGGGUCGAAUAUACCAGGUCGUCUCCGAGUGUUGUAUUAAUCCCUACAAGACCUUUGUGGGUUUUAAAUAACCGUUUUCCGUGAGGUAAAAUAUGACGCUCGCCAUCCCGCAUCACCGCUGCAACGCUCCGGUUAGUGGGAGAAGCCUUCCAAAGGGGCAGAGAACCUGGCUCGACACGGCGAUCUCUCGGUGCGGUGGUACAGACAGAAGGACAAGACGAGUAUCUCUCUCUAGUGUUUUCCAGUGAUCUGAAGGGUUACCUUGUGUAAUCCUAACAUCACAGUAUGAUUUUUAAACUGGUGAAGUUCUCUUCUCUCACGGUGGCUACCACUGUGACCAACUUUUUGAGAGAGCUGACCUCUAUUGAUUACACCAUUACCUUAAUUCUCGGGCACCUCAGGCUAAUGCAAAAACAUGUGGAGUGUCAUUUUUUUCAGCAUGUGUGCUAAUACAAUAUAUUCAAAGUGGCAAAGGGAACCUGGAAUUUGUCUUGGAUACCAUCUUGAGGUUUCGGUGAUAUUUUUGGAGGAAAAAGAUCAGAACAGUUCUUGAGGCAUAGUUCAUUUGUGUUCACUUCUGAGAUGACCGCUUGCAUUUUGUGUAGGGUUUUUUGGUUGGUUUUUAGCCCAGUGCUUUCAAUCAAAUCAUACAGAAUAAGAAUGCCAGCAUAAAAAACUUGUGGGAAGAGUAGAACAGGUAUUGUACUUAGCAUUUUAAAUUUAGACCCUCUGUUACGUUGCAGUAUCUUUCAAGUUUUGAUAAAAUCUUGAGAGAACGUACGUAAGAAAUUAAGCCAAGAAACACCAGUGCUGUAAGUUAUCAGCUAGUCACAAGAUGGCAUCCUAAUUCCAUUCAAUUCAAUUGGUUGAGCGUGUCAGUUGCGUAUUUAAGCUACGGGCAGUGCUUAUGAAUGGAAAUGAUGACUGGUGCUUUCUGCAGUUACUUUUUUCCCCUCAUUAUAUCAUGGUAGUUGACCAAACUUUGAUUUCCUGGUUUGCAGCAGCAUUGACACGCUAAAGAAAAUGCCGUUACUUCUCCUGCCAUCACAACCAUGUAUUUUUCCAAAUGUGAGGACAUGCUGUGGUUCAAUCCGUAGUCCCAGCUGGGUCCUCAAGAUUACAUGGCUCUUCCAGGAGCAUGUAUGCAGUCUCUCUCACCUGUGUUUCACCACUCUCACAGUUGCCUGUAUUGUUGGAAUGUGCAAUUUUUGCAUGUUACCUUUUCUUCCUGUUCGCAAGCUAAACUACUACUUUUACAAUCACUUUGGUUGAACACUGAAUCUAAAUGUUGGAUCCUUCUUUCCUAUCUUUGCAUGGUCUGCUAUUUGCACUUUUCCUUACUUCACAGAGACUUUUGAUUUCUCUUCCUUCCUUCCUUCCCCCUUUCCUUUCUUCUAUUGAAAUUUUAGUCCCUGUGCUAUCUCACUGCUAUUCUUUCUCUUCCAGUCCUCACUCAAUCUGAGGGUGAGUGGAACAACUUUUAAAACCAUGGAUUUUGGCACUGGCAGCUGGAGCCUGUUCCUUGAUUAUACUUUCUUCAUGCUACAGGUUUUCCAGAAGCUUUUGCUGCACUUAUAGCAAAUAGGGACGUGUUCGAUAACUUAUGUCAAGCACAAUCUUUCUAGCCCUGUUGAAAAAUUAUUUCUGCAAUUGAAUUAUUUUUGACAGUAUUUUUCUUCAAGACUCCUCCCAUGGGUUGCAAAAGCAGUCUUCAGUUGAGAAUGUCUUAUUUAUACCAAAUAAAUAGUUAUGCUAUUAGCUUAAGUACAGACCAAUCAAAAAUCUAUAGCUGAAUGAGAACAUGUUGAUUCCUCCAUUCAUUUUCUCAAAAAAUGCUAUAUAGGCGAAAAAUUGUGUAGCGCUUAGUUUUCAGAAGUGCUGAGCAUGCAAAACUCUCCACUUGGCUGCUGUAUAAACAUGAUUUGAAGGGCCUCUCAGCUUAAAUAAUGCCAUGCUUUUUUUAAUUUUAUACACAGCUUUAGUCUGCACCCACGCUUGUGGGGACCUCAGCUGAAAUAGCACUGAGGCGAGAGGCAGAAGGAAAACGAGAAUCACUCAAGUCAUUCACAUCUCUGUAGCAGCAUGAAAAGUUUCAAGGGAUGGCAUUAUGAUCGUAAUUACUUACACCUGAAAUAAUUCUCGCUUUAUAACUUUCUGGUUUAGCUCUCUGUGCAGAUAGUGGAGAUAACUAUUUAUCUUCCCAUGAUUAAUAACUAUCAGGAACAUUAAUUAGUGAAUGUAUCCAAUACUUUGGAUAUUAAAAACAUAAAUCAUUAUUAUGGACUGGUAGCAUCUUAAUCUGGAGGUCCAGAAUCUACACAUAUUUGUGUGUCUUGCUUGUUUGAUGGUGUUUUCAGGAAAACCAUUUUACAAAACAUAUGCCUUAUUUUUCACCAGUGUCAACCAUAUCAUUCCUGACUAAUAAAGUACAGGAAGUGGGGGGGGAAAAAAAUCACUAAUAAAAUGAGAGGCAUUCAUACCUGAAAUUCUUAUUUUUAUGCAGUUUUAGAAAGUGUAUUUGCAUUCCAAAUGCUCAUAUUUCUGUGCUUUCCUGAACAGGCUGAUGUUUGUUUCUACCAUAUUUACCUUUGUUAGUGCAUUCCUUCUGGUGCAUAGCACAAAUGCUACAACGGCUUUUUCUCUGGAAAAACAUUAAAUACCUACUUUAACUUAUCUUCAAGAAUAUUUCGUAAAAAUCCAAGGUUAUCCAAGACGCCAAAAAUGCUGAGUGUAGGAAACACCCUGAUUGAUUGACUAGAUAGCAGGAGAAAUUAAAUGCCGUGGAAAAAGGUAACUCAGUGAAAGAAAAUAGACCAACGUUGUCUUGAGUAUCUCAUCUGACUCGAAAUAUAAAGUACAGCCUCCCCAUCUGUCGCCACGUGACUGAAGGACUGUCUUAUUACCGCGACCGACAACUCAUCUACUUUUCGUAGCGCACAAUGAAAACUGCCUGCAGUUCACGUUCCCAAUAAGCAUCCUUUCCAGCCUUCAGAAGGAAAAUUAAUUUGAUUUCGGAAUAAAGCCUGUAUUAAGCCCAUGA